GGCUCUAUUUAUAUCUGAUCUGCCUCAGCCACAGGGUCCAGACCUAACCAGUUACCACAGACCUUCACUAGGCUCUAUGGCUCUAUUUAUAUCUGAUCUGCCUCAGCCACAGGGUCCAGACCUAACCAGUUACCACAGACCUUCACUAGGCUCUAUGGCCUUCAUAACGGUGAAGUUUCAUCCCUACCGUUUAAAUUGACAUUGUCCUAAAUCUGAGGAGACAAAACUGCAGAGCAGGGAUUCACUUUUGACAGGUUAAGAUAACUGAGAUACAACUUUUUUUUGGAGCUACAUGUCCCUACACAAGUAAGAAUAGAGGUUAUCAAUAUUUUUCAGAGUAUUUCAAUUGAAAAUGAUCACAAUUAUUGGCAGAUUGAACUGCAUGUUAUAGGUGGUGUGACGAGGUUUAUAGUUUGAGGAGGGUCUGUGUGUUCAAGUUUUUUAACAGAGUCUUUUUUAUUGAAUUGUAUUUAAUUCAAGUCCAUGCACCCCAAAUGGCACCACACAGCUAAGGAACAGGGACUGGACUUCAGUAUGUCUGAUGAGUAAGCUGCAGCUACAGCAGCCUGUGGUGUUAGUGGGUCAGGUGGUCAGUCUGAGGUGGUGUUAGGGGGUCAGGUGAUCAGCCUGAGGUGGUGUUAGGGGGUCAGGUGAUCAGUCUGAGGUGGUGUUAGGGGGUCAGGUGAUCAGCCUGAGGUGGUGUUAGUGGGUCAGGUGAUCAGUCUGAGGUGGUGUUAGUGGGUCAGGUGAUCAGCCUGAGGUGGUGUUAGUGGGUCAGGUGAUCAGUCUGAGGUGGUGUUAGUGGGUCAGGUGAUCAGCCUGAGGUGGUGUUAGUGGGUCAGGUGAUCAGUCUGAGGUGGUGUUAGUGGGUCAGGUGAUCAGUCUGAGGUGGUGUUAGUGGGUCAGGUGAUCAGCCUGAGGUGGUGUUAGUGGGUCAGGUGAUCAGCCUGAGGUGGUGUCUAUGUGACAUGCUGUCUCCUCCAUUAAAAAACUCAUACUGUCUAUGUGACGUGCUGUCUCCUCCAUUAAAAAACUCAUACUGUCUAUGUGACGUGCUGUCUCCUCCAUUAAACUCAUACUGUCUAUGUGACGUGCUGUCUCCUCCAUUAAACUCAUACUGUCUUUGUGACGUGCUGUCUCCUCCAUUAAAAAACUCAUACUGUCUAUGUGACGUGCUGUCUCCUCCAUUAAAAAACUCAUACUGUCUAUGUGACGUGCUGUCUCCUCCAUUAAAAACUCAUACUGUCUUUGUGACGUGCUGUCUCCUCCAUUAAAAACUCAUACUGUCUUUGUGACAUGCUGUCUUCUCCAUUAAAAACUCAUACUGUCUUUGUGACAUGCUGUCUCCUCCAUUAAAAAACUCAUACUGUCUAUGUGACGUGCUGUCUCCUCCAUUAAAAAACUCAUACUGUCUAUGUGACGUGCUGUCUCCUC
Molecule: long non-coding RNA, 1434 nt
Organism: Oncorhynchus keta (chum salmon)
Lineage: Eukaryota; Metazoa; Chordata; Actinopteri; Salmoniformes; Salmonidae
Exons: 3
Source: RefSeq, a predicted model, not a curated record